GGGCUGGUAGCUCAGUUGGUUAGAGCACCACCAUAUAUAGGUAGAGGUCCUGGGUUCAAUCCCCGGCUGGUCCA
Molecule: transfer RNA, 74 nt
Filed under: Serpula lacrymans var. lacrymans S7.9
Lineage: Eukaryota; Fungi; Basidiomycota; Agaricomycetes; Boletales; Serpulaceae
Also listed under: 1 other name
Description: tRNA-Tyr (ATA) (tRNA-Tyr-ATA-6-1)
Rfam family: tRNA
About the family: Transfer RNA (tRNA) molecules are approximately 80 nucleotides in length. Their secondary structure includes four short double-helical elements and three loops (D, anti-codon, and T loops).
Source: RNAcentral